This 382-nucleotide ribosomal RNA is filed under the name Stutzerimonas stutzeri. RNAcentral's name for it is "bacterial SSU rRNA". It matches the Rfam family "Bacterial small subunit ribosomal RNA", at positions 42 to 425 of the family's 1533-position model. Lineage: Bacteria; Pseudomonadati; Pseudomonadota; Gammaproteobacteria; Pseudomonadales; Pseudomonadaceae. The record is from RNAcentral.
GGGGGCAGCUACACAUGCAGUCGAGCGGAUGAGUGGAGCUUGCUCCACUGAUUCAGCGGCGGACGGGUGAGUAAUGCCUAGGAAUCUGCCUGGUAGUGGGGGACAACGUUUCGAAAGGAACGCUAAUACCGCAUACGUCCUACGGGAGAAAGUGGGGGAUCUUCGGACCUCACGCUAUCAGAUGAGCCUAGGUCGGAUUAGCUAGUUGGUGAGGUAAAGGCUCACCAAGGCGACGAUCCGUAACUGGUCUGAGAGGAUGAUCAGUCACACUGGAACUGAGACACGGUCCAGACUCCUACGGGAGGCAGCAGUGGGGAAUAUUGGACAAUGGGCGAAAGCCUGAUCCAGCCAUGCCGCGUGUGUGAAGAAGGUCUUCGGAUUG